AAUGGCGAUUAUAGCGUAGGGGAUCACCUCUUCCCAUCCCGAACAGAGAAGUUAAGCCCUACAGCGCCGAUGGUACUAGGUAAAACCUGGGAGAGUAGGUCGUCGCCAACC
This 111-nucleotide ribosomal RNA is filed under the name Bacteroidota bacterium. Lineage: Bacteria; Pseudomonadati; Bacteroidota. RNAcentral also lists the same sequence under 1 other name. The record is from RNAcentral.